AAUUCACCAGUUUCUUAUCUUGUGACUCGUCUGGCUCCCUAUGUUAAGGGGAAAAUAUUUGUCCUUAGUGAAUGUGGCGGCAUAAUUAGGAUGGAUACACAGCCUUUCGGGUCAACUUAGGCGCAAGCUUCAAGACUGCAUUUGCUUCAGCAUGAUUUCAGAGUUCCAAUGCUUCGCUUCAAGAAACCUUCCUUGAAAUGUUUCAAGUCCCGGAUAGUGUCUCUCUCCUCCUGCAG
This is a long non-coding RNA of Bemisia tabaci, 236 nucleotides long. RefSeq lists it as uncharacterized. NCBI's taxonomy places the organism in Eukaryota, Metazoa, Arthropoda, Insecta, Hemiptera, Aleyrodidae. The record is from RefSeq and is a predicted model, not a curated record.